UGCAAGUCGAACGUGAAAGCACUUCGGUGUGAGUAGAGUGGCGGACGGGUGAGUAACGCGUGGGAAUCUACCCAGUAGUGGGGGACAACUACCGGAAACGGUAGCUAAUACCGCAUACGCCCUAUGGGGGAAAGGCUUCGGCCGCUAUUGGAUGAGCCCGCGUCAGAUUAGCUAGUUGGUAGGGUAAAGGCCUACCAAGGCAACGAUCUGUAGCUGGUCUGAGAGGACGAACAGCCACACUGGGACUGAGACACGGCCCAGACUCCUACGGGAGGCAGCAGUGGGGAAUAUUGGACAAUGGGCGAAAGCCUGAUCCAGCAAUGCCGCGUGUGUGAAGAAGGCCUGCGGGUUGUAAAGCACUUUCAGUUGGGAAGAUGAUGACGUUACCAACAGAAGAAGCACCGGCUAAAUCCGUGCCAGCAGCCGCGGUAAUACGGAUGGUGCGAGCGUUAAUCGGAAUUACUGGGCGUAAAGCGCGCGUAGGCGGCUAAGUCAGUCAGAAGUGAAAGCCCCGGGCUCAACCUGGGAAUUGCUUUUGAUACUGCUUAGCUAGAGUUUGGUAGAGGAUAGUGGAAUUCCAGGUGUAGCGGUGAAAUGCGUAGAUAUCUGGAGGAACAUCAGUGGCGAAGGCGACUGUCUGGACCAAAACUGACGCUGAGGUGCGAAAGCGUGGGUAGCAAACAGGAUUAGAUACCCUGGUAGUCCACGCCGUAAACGAUGUCAACUAGCCGUCGGGUCUAUUUACAGACUUGGUGGCGAAGCUAACGCGAUAAGUUGACCGCCUGGGGAGUACGG
RNAcentral lists this ribosomal RNA (795 nucleotides) under uncultured Gammaproteobacteria bacterium. Its description in RNAcentral is "bacterial SSU rRNA". It matches the Rfam family "Bacterial small subunit ribosomal RNA", at positions 56 to 885 of the family's 1533-position model. Lineage: Bacteria; Pseudomonadati; Pseudomonadota; Gammaproteobacteria. The record is from RNAcentral.